GGGGHGAGGGGCCCCAGAGCCCCAGACCUCCUUGGCUUGGAGGGCGCCAUCACCGGGCAUCGMUGGUCGRCGCACGWKGGUGCUGCCCUCUAASCCGUACCAACGAACCCCGGCGCAAAACGCGCCAAGGAACUUCAACGAAUCAGCAUGCCCCGGCACCCCAGAAACGGUGCGUGUUCGGGGCGUUGCAUUGUAUUCUUUAUAUGUCAAAACGACUCUCGGCAACGGAUAUCUCGGCUCUCGCAUCGAUGAAGAACGUAGCGAAAUGCGAUACUUGGUGUGAAUUGCAGAAUCCCGUGAACCAUCGAGUCUUUGAACGCAAGUUGCGCCCAAAGCCAUUAGGCCGAGGGCACGUCUGCCUGGGCGUCACACAACGUUGCCCCCCCCCUCGUCUUCGAGGAGGACGGGGGGCAGAUGCUGGCCUCCUGUGCGCCACGGCUCGCGGUUGGCCWAAAUACGAGUACUCGGCGAYGAGCGCCGCGGCAAUCGGUGGUUGUCCAACCCUCGGUGCCAUGCUGUGYGCGUGAGACGCUCAYUGUUACUCGACGACCCCAAUGCGUCG
RNAcentral lists this ribosomal RNA (562 nucleotides) under Rhamnus alaternus. RNAcentral's name for it is "eukaryotic LSU rRNA". Lineage: Eukaryota; Viridiplantae; Streptophyta; Magnoliopsida; Rosales; Rhamnaceae. The record is from RNAcentral.